GCCCUGGUUGAUUAAUGGUAAAUCACCCACACCCCUUUAAACUUCUCUUGGGUGGAUUGAUGUGGGAGACGGAGGUUCGAAUCCUCCCUGAGGCA
Molecule: non-coding RNA, 95 nt
Organism: Mycena rebaudengoi
Lineage: Eukaryota; Fungi; Basidiomycota; Agaricomycetes; Agaricales; Mycenaceae
Source: the annotation of a GenBank genome assembly